GUAAAUAUAGUUUAACAAAAACAUUAGAUUGUGAAUCUAGUAAUAAAAGCUUAAAUCUUUUUAUUUACC
Molecule: non-coding RNA, 69 nt
Organism: Ailuropoda melanoleuca (giant panda)
Lineage: Eukaryota; Metazoa; Chordata; Mammalia; Carnivora; Ursidae
Source: Rfam